UUUGAUAUUUUAUUUUACAUCUUACGUUGCCAGGUCUGGUAAGACCUAUGGCAAACACUAGUUGAUAAGAAACAAACAAAAGAAUAUUGCUUAUUACAUUGAAACUCAACAAAUUACAAGAAAAAUUAAAGGAAAAAAUCUGGUGUGGUACACUCACACAACUUUCCUUGCUC
Molecule: long non-coding RNA, 173 nt
Organism: Nilaparvata lugens (brown planthopper)
Lineage: Eukaryota; Metazoa; Arthropoda; Insecta; Hemiptera; Delphacidae
Exons: 3
Source: RefSeq, a predicted model, not a curated record